GAUGAACGCUGGCGGCGUGCCUAAUACAUGCAAGUCGAGCGAACAGAUGAGGAGCUUGCUCCUCUGACGUUAGCGGCGGACGGGUGAGUAACACGUGGAUAACUUACCUAUAAGACUGGGAUAACUUCGGGAAACCGGAGCUAAUACCGGAUAAUAUAUUGAACCGCAUGGUUCAAUAGUGAAAGACGGUUUUGCUGUCACUUAUAGAUGGAUCCGCGCCGCAUUAGCUAGUUGGUAAGGUAACGGCUUACCAAGGCAACGAUGCGUAGCCGACCUGAGAGGGUGAUCGGCCACACUGGAACUGAGACACGGUCCAGACUCCUACGGGAGGCAGCAGUAGGGAAUCUUCCGCAAUGGGCGAAAGCCUGACGGAGCAACGCCGCGUGAGUGAUGAAGGUCUUCGGAUCGUAAAACUCUGUUAUUAGGGAAGAACAAAUGUGUAAGUAACUAUGCACGUCUUGACGGUACCUAAUCAGAAAGCCACGGCUAACUACGUG
This 497-nucleotide ribosomal RNA is filed under the name uncultured bacterium. RNAcentral's name for it is "partial 16S ribosomal RNA". It matches the Rfam family "Bacterial small subunit ribosomal RNA", at positions 28 to 507 of the family's 1533-position model. The record is from RNAcentral.